UUGAUUCUUUAGGUCACGGUAGCCCUAUCUGGAGUAUUUUCUAGUCCUUACCUGUUCACAGCCUGCUUUAAAUUAGUCAAAAGGCAGCACCUUAAGGUUCCCUGAAACAUCUUAGAUACACAGCUCAUAGGCAGAUGGGACUUGCCUUGUCUCAGAUGAGACCUUGGACUGUGGACUUCUGAGUUAAUGCUGAAAUGAAUUAAGACUUUGGGGGACUAUUGGUAAG
Molecule: long non-coding RNA, 226 nt
Filed under: Homo sapiens (human)
Lineage: Eukaryota; Metazoa; Chordata; Mammalia; Primates; Hominidae
Description: HSALNT0374458
Source: RNAcentral